GGCCCGCGUGAAACCCUCUCCGCUGCCUCGACUGACUGUCGUUUCCGUGUCUUGAUUGUGGCCUCUGCCUCUCCCCCUUCCGAUUUCGUUCGACUUCUUUCUACGGUUACUAAGCGCCCACUGUGUGCCCUGGAAGGGACUAGACUCAGCAGGAAAAACAUCCAGGCAAGUGGAAAGCAUUUGCAUCAGCCCAGCAAUAAGAAGGACCAUAUUCUACUUGGGAAAAGGUAAAGACGUUUCAUAUGGAUGGAGGUGAGUUCAAGGGGGACAAGAAAUGGAACUUGCCAAGUAAGUGGAGGCUGGCUCUUAAAGAUUGUUCUUCAGGCAAUGAGGAGCCAUUGAUAAGAUGUUAGUUAGAGAGUGCUUAUGUUAAUUAUCAAUUUAUUAUUAAAAUACUUUGAAUAUUUUAGGAACAUAUUUCUUGUAUUUUGGUGGUCUUGAAGUCACAGGGCAGAGCUAGGAGUUAAUUUCAGUUCCAACUCAUGGUAUGACUUAGCAAGUGAUGUUUUAUUUUAGGUCCUUAGUUUUCUCAUCUCUAAAUGAAGAAAAAGAAAAGCAAGGGAUUGGCAAGCUUAACAUGCUCAAUAGUUUUUCUUUGCUGAACUAUUCCCAGAGGGUCAACCAGCCUUCAAUAGGUGUGAUUAAUAAAUUACAAAAGAUAAAUAGAGUGCCUUGAAAGAUUUUAUGUUCCUUAUUUAAAUUUUACCUGUCUUUACAGCCUGCCAGGAAACCUGUCAUUCAACCCUUUGCAAUAAAACAGCUCCUCAUGAAUGAAGCAAAAUAAAUCAGAAGUCGUGGGCUUUUAAAUUCACUAAAUGAAAGCCCAGCAUGCAUGCAGCCUCCCUCCAAAUUAAUCACCAGAUUAAAUGCAAGAUGUGCACACCAAAUCAAUAGCUUGUGACAGAGACCUCCUGCCUGUGCUUCAGGAAAAUUCCAUUUCCUUUCAGAUGUUGUAGCUUGAAAUGUCAGGAAGUUUCCAUUCAUCACCCGCC
Molecule: small RNA, 992 nt
Filed under: Pongo abelii (Sumatran orangutan)
Lineage: Eukaryota; Metazoa; Chordata; Mammalia; Primates; Hominidae
Description: retained intron
Source: RNAcentral